Molecule: ribosomal RNA, 403 nt
Filed under: uncultured bacterium
Lineage: Bacteria
Description: bacterial SSU rRNA
Rfam family: Bacterial small subunit ribosomal RNA
Source: RNAcentral
AUUGAACGCUGGCGGCAUGCCUAACACAUGCAAGUCGAACGGCAGCACAGCAGUAGCAAUACUGUGGGUGGCGAGUGGCGGACGGGUGAGGAAUACGUCGGAAUCUGCCCAGUCGUGGGGGAUAACUAGCCGAAAGGUUAGCUAAUACCGCAUACGACCGAGAGGUGAAAGCGGGGGACCGCAAGGCCUCGCGCGAUUGGAUGAGCCGACGUCGGAUUAGCUAGUUGGCGGGGUAAAGGCCCACCAAGGCGACGAUCCGUAGCUGGUCUGAGAGGAUGAUCAGCCACACUGGAACUGAGACACGGUCCAGACUCCUACGGGAGGCAGCAGUGGGGAAUAUUGGACAAUGGGCGCAAGCCUGAUCCAGCAAUGCCGCGUGUGUGAAGAAGGCCUCGGUUGUAAG